AUCGCUUCUCGGCCUUUUGGCUAAGAUCAAGUGUAGUUUCAUUUAUGUGGCCUUCAGUGUGCAGAAGCUUUUUUAUUUUUAAAGCCCAAUAGUUCCUUUUUGCUUUUGUUUCCCUUGCCUCAAGAGACAUGUC
Molecule: small nuclear RNA, 133 nt
Filed under: Suricata suricatta (meerkat)
Lineage: Eukaryota; Metazoa; Chordata; Mammalia; Carnivora; Herpestidae
Description: U2 spliceosomal RNA (ENSSSUG00005014711.1)
Rfam family: U2 spliceosomal RNA
About the family: U2 is a small nuclear RNA (snRNA) component of the spliceosome (involved in pre-mRNA splicing).
Source: Rfam by way of RNAcentral